Molecule: long non-coding RNA, 1007 nt
Organism: Scylla paramamosain (green mud crab)
Lineage: Eukaryota; Metazoa; Arthropoda; Malacostraca; Decapoda; Portunidae
Exons: 5
Source: RefSeq, a predicted model, not a curated record
GUGGUUGGAGCAGUGAUACGUGGCGCUGGGGAGGGAGAGCGGGUGGCUGGAUGGCUGGCUACAUUGUUUUGGUCAACACUGGUCAGUCUUGCCCCACACGCUCUUUUAACCAGUGUUUCCGUAUUCCCGGCAGCUUUUCCCUGUACCGAGCACCGCCAAGCAGCACCAGAGAGGCACGAAUAUGUAAGGGAGGAAGGGAGUACAAGCAAUGCAAUGGGUGACUUCCAAGCACUUACUGGCCUCCCAGGACCUGCAGUGGAACCAGAAACACUCCCUUUCUGGCGACAUUCACAGUUGUCACCAGUGCCACUCACUGCUGGAAGAUUGUGUCACUGUAUGCUGCCAAAGGUGUGAGUGAAGAGGAAAGAUGUAUUUGAGAUGCCAACAAGUCAAUUUGUUCUAGCCGCUUUUUAAUGUUUGGUGGGAAGCCUUGAGAAAAAGGCAGUCCCUGAGCAGCGUGUGCCACCAUGACGCAAGAUUGGCGUUCAUUGACUAUUAUUGUAACAGUACAGUAUUUUCAUUACAUCAGAGACCCCUAGGAGUUAAGGAAGGAAGGAGUACAAGCAACACAAUGGUUGACUUGGAAGUACUCACUGGCCUCCUAGGACUGGCAGUGGAACCAGGAACACACUCCCUUUCUGGCAGCAUUGGCAGUUGUCACUUCUGCCACUCAUUGCUGGAAGAUUGUGUCACUGUAUGCUACAAAAGGUGAUAUUCUCUCCGUCUCUCACUCUCUCUCUGACAGGCCUUUUUAACGUUUGCCGGGAGGCCUUGAGCAGUCCCUGAGCAGCGUGUGCUUCCAUGAUGCAAGAUUGGCUGGCGUUCAUUGACUAGUAUUGUAACAGUACAGUAUUUUUCAUUACACCAGAGACCUCUUGGAGUUAAAGAAAGUUAAAACAAAACAAGAAACUUUGUUUUGGGAUUAAUGUUAUUGUUAAAUGUAUGUUGGGAUGAAGGUUAUUGUUAAAUGUAUAUUACAUUAUUAUGUGUUACUGAUUGAGAUUGGG